GGGAAACCGAGUCUUAACUGGGCGUCCAGUCGCAAGGCAUAGACCCGAAACCCGGUGAUCUAGCCAUGGGCAGGUUGAAGGUUGGGUAACACUAACUGGAGGACCGAACCGACUAAUUUUGAAAAAUUAGCGGAUGACUUGUGGCUGGGGGUGAAAGGCCAAUCAAACCGGGAGAUAGCUGGUUCUCCUCGAAAGCUAUUUAGGUAGCGCCUCGGACGAAUACCUUGGGGGGUAGAGCACUGUUUGGGCUAGGGGGU
This 257-nucleotide ribosomal RNA is filed under the name uncultured Mamiellales. Its description in RNAcentral is "partial Bacterial large subunit ribosomal RNA". It matches the Rfam family "Bacterial large subunit ribosomal RNA", at positions 671 to 927 of the family's 2925-position model. The record is from RNAcentral. Lineage: Eukaryota; Viridiplantae; Chlorophyta; Mamiellophyceae; Mamiellales.